Molecule: ribosomal RNA, 27 nt
Filed under: Tulasnella sp. EE-2011
Lineage: Eukaryota; Fungi; Basidiomycota; Agaricomycetes; Cantharellales; Tulasnellaceae
Also listed under: 1 other name
Description: partial 28S ribosomal RNA
Source: RNAcentral
UGACCUCAUCGGGGUAGGACAACCCGC